Molecule: unclassified non-coding RNA, 345 nt
Filed under: soil metagenome
Description: partial contains 5.8S ribosomal RNA, internal transcribed spacer 2, and large subunit ribosomal RNA
Rfam family: 5.8S ribosomal RNA (bases 1-120)
Source: RNAcentral
GAUGAAGAACGUAGUAAAAUGCGAUAAGUAAUGUGAAUUGCAGAAUUCAGUGAAUCAUCGAAUCUUUGAACGCACAUUGCGCCCGCCAGUAUUCUGGCGGGCAUGCCUGUUCGAGCGUCAUUUCAACCCUCAAGCCCUCGGGUUUGGUGUUGGGGAUCGGCGAGCCUUUCUGGCAAGCCGGCCCCGAAAUCUAGUGGCGGUCUCGCUGCAGCCUCCAUUGCGUAGUAGUAAAACCCUCGCAACUGGAACGCGGCGCGGCCAAGCCGUUAAACCCCCAACUUCUGAAUGUUGACCUCGGAUCAGGUAGGAAUACCCGCUGAACUUAAGCAUAUCAAAAGCGGAGGA